Small nuclear RNA from Monodelphis domestica (gray short-tailed opossum), 108 nucleotides. NCBI's taxonomy places the organism in Eukaryota, Metazoa, Chordata, Mammalia, Didelphimorphia, Didelphidae. The record is from Ensembl.
UGGUGCCCACUUGGCAACACAUUACUAAAACUGGAACGUUACAGAGAACAUUAGCAUGGCCCCUGUGCAAGGAUAAUAACGUAAAUCUGUGAAAUGUUCCACUAAAAA